UACGUAGGGUGCGAGCGUUAAUCGGAAUUACUGGGCGUAAAGCGUGCGCAGGCGGUCCGCUAAGACAGGUGUGAAAUCCCUGGGCUCAACCUAGGAAUUGCGCUUGUGACUGGCGGGCUAGAGUACGGUAGAGGGGGGUGGAAUUCCUGGUGUAGCAGUGAAAUGCGUAGAGAUCAGGUGGAACACCGAUGGUGAAGGCAGCCCCCUGGGCCUGUACUGACGAUCAGGCACGAAAGCGUGGGGAGCAAACAGG
RNAcentral lists this ribosomal RNA (253 nucleotides) under uncultured bacterium. RNAcentral describes it as "partial 16S ribosomal RNA". It matches the Rfam family "Bacterial small subunit ribosomal RNA", at positions 524 to 776 of the family's 1533-position model. The record is from RNAcentral.